AAAAUAAAAAUUUGUUUUGAUGUUUUGGUUUACAGGUUCCAAAAGAAGAAAACGUAGAAGAACAUGAUGAACAUGAUGAGACUGAAGAUCAAGAAGCAUAUGUAAUUUUGUCAGAUGAUGAAGAUAAUGGGACUGCACCCACAGAGAAAGAAUCACAACCUCAAAAAGUAGAAACAACAGAGGUCUGCAUUCCUUAAUUGUUUAAAAAGACAUGAUAAAAUUGUCAAAAAAUAAAAAUUUGUUUUGAUGUUUUGGUUUACAGGUUCCAGGAGAGACCAAGAAAGAUGAUGAAGAUGUUAAUCAAACACCACUCUCUACGCAAGAAGAAGAAAUCACCCAAGGACAGAGCAAUCGUAAGUUCUUUUUACAUUCACAGAUGAUUUGCCUUGAUAAACAACUUCUAAAU
RNAcentral lists this small RNA (406 nucleotides) under Arabidopsis thaliana (thale cress). RNAcentral's name for it is "ATSL098410". The record is from RNAcentral. Lineage: Eukaryota; Viridiplantae; Streptophyta; Magnoliopsida; Brassicales; Brassicaceae.